Molecule: ribosomal RNA, 448 nt
Filed under: uncultured bacterium
Lineage: Bacteria
Description: bacterial SSU rRNA
Rfam family: Bacterial small subunit ribosomal RNA
Source: RNAcentral
UGGGGAAUCUUGCGCAAUGGGCGCAAGCCUGAUCCAGCCAUGCCGCGUGAGUGAAGAAGGCCUUCGGGUUGUAAAGCUCUUUUUACCAGGGACGAUAAUGACGGUACCUGGAGAAUAAGCCCCGGCAAACUUCGUGCCAGCAGCCGCGGUAAUACGAAGGGGGCUAGCGUUGUUCGGAAUUACUGGGCGUAAAGCGCACGUAGGCGGAUUGUUAAGUCAGAGGUGAAAUCCCGGAGCUCAACUUCGGAACUGCCUUUGAUACUGGCAACCUCGAGUCCGGAAGAGGUUAGUGGAAUUCCCAGUGUAGAGGUGAAAUUCGUAGAUAUUGGGAAGAACACCAGUGGCGAAGGCGGCUAACUGGUCCGGUACUGACGCUGAGGUGCGAAAGCGUGGGGAGCAAACAGGAUUAGAUACCCCUGUAGUCCCUGAGCGGGCUGGCAAGGCGCAU